This is a long non-coding RNA of Drosophila montana, 1088 nucleotides long. RefSeq lists it as uncharacterized. The record is from RefSeq and is a predicted model, not a curated record. NCBI's taxonomy places the organism in Eukaryota, Metazoa, Arthropoda, Insecta, Diptera, Drosophilidae. The transcript has 2 exons.
UGAAAAUGGAUGAAAUAAGUUCGUUUUAGUAUAAAGUACGGUAAAAUCUGUGUAAUGGACUUUAUAAGGUCCCCUUGAAACUUUGAAUAAUUGCUGACAAAUACAUAUUCCACUGAGUUCAGAAAAAGCAGAGUGUGAUAAUCGAUAAUGGAAGAAGUUGGGUUCAAAUGAAGUACACUCAAAUUUCACGAUGGAUUUUAUCAGGAUUUUAUCCCAUGAAACUGUGCAAAUCGAUUAAAUAAGUUGGUUUUAGAAAAAUGACAAUAAAAUCUCUGAAAUAUAUUUUGAUAAGGUCCCCUCGAACCUGUGAAUAGCUGUUGCGAAUAAACUGGCUCGGGAUGCUUGCUGUAUAGAUUUAAUAUUGGCAAAGUGGAUGUGAAUAGUUAGAUACCACGAAUUGAUCGAAUAACUGCCACAAAUCAAUGCCUUUACAGUGUGAGACAAGUGUACGGCCAACCUGUUGGCGAAUAUCGUAAGCAUGCAAUGCAAUGCAAUUAAGUAAGUUAACAAUUACGCAUUACGGAAUUCUACGAAGAGGCGAGCCGCAAUGCUGCGCUUGUGCGGGGGGUUUUCAACAUUUGAUGGAUAAUUCCGAAUAUAUUUAAUAAUCGAAUCAGACAGGAUUCUUAGCAUUCCUUAUACGCUGCAAUUACAAGGCAUUAAAUACCGUACUACGUGCGGGUUAUUUUUUAUUGACCGCGAUCGCUCAAAUGUGAAGCACGGCGACUUAUUACUCAUGCGAUAUGAAAGAAACGGCAAACCAAAAGACAAAAAAACCAAAUAUAUAUAUACAUAUAUAUAUAUGUAUUUAUAUGAAACCGACAAAUCUAAACCGUUUUAAACGUGUGUGCUGUGGUACUCGCGUCCAAUUAAAUGCUUUUAACCUUCAAAAAGUAGUACAGGUCUAGCCUCGGGCCGCCGUACUCCCGCUCUGCCACUGGCUUUAGGCCAAAUACCGGAUUACGACGAGGAGUUAAUGCUUAUGUGCCACAAUAUGCCAGCUCAUAAAUCGUUGAAUCUGCCGAUCUGCAUUAAGCGACCAGCGAAACUUUCAAUGUCAAUGUCAAUAAAUCUAUUACGAUUAGGUA